UUAAAGGAAUUGACGGAAGGGCACCACCAGGAGUGGAGCCUGCGGCUUAAUUUGACUCAACACGGGGAACCUCACCAGGUCCGGACAUGAUUGCGAUGGACAGAUCGAUAGCUCUUUCUAGAUCUCAUGGAUGGUGGUGCAUGGCCGUUCUUAGUUCGUGGAGCGAUUUGUCUGGUUAAUUCCGAUAACGAGCGAGACUCUACCUUACUAACUAAGACGUACGAUAUACACGAGGUCUGUUGACGUAUGUGUGUGUUUCUGUGGCGUCACAUUCAUAUAUCUACAUAUAUAUACUUGUGUGUGUGGCGUGCGUGCGCUCGUGCCCUUCGCGGGGAUUGCGUUGCCGUAUCGCAUCGUCCACAUCAAGUGUGUUGUGUGUGUGUGUUUGUGUGUCAUGGUAUACCGCAUUACGGCACGGUCCAUACUAUCGGCGCAAAUGUUUUCUUCUUAGAAGAACAAGCUAUAUAUAGUAGCACGAGAGAGAGCAAUAACAGGUCUGUGAUGCCCUUAGAUGUCCUGGGCCGCACGCGUGCGACAAUGAAAGAGUCAAUAGGUGUCCUAGGCCGAAAUGCCCGGGUAAUCCUUGCAAACUCUUUCGUGUUGGGGAUUGGGGCUUGAAAGUGCUUCCCAUGAACGAGGAAUUCCCAGUAAGCGUAGUUGAUCAAUCUGCGCUGAUUGAGUCCCUGCCCUUUGUACACACCGCCCGUCGCUACUACCGAUGAGCGGGCUAGCGAGAUCUUCGGACCGGCGCCUCGAAAGAGGUCGUUACCGGAAAGUCGAUCAAACUUGCCCGUUUAGAGGAAGUAAAA
This 809-nucleotide ribosomal RNA is filed under the name Tiraspirus tabulatus. RNAcentral's name for it is "SSU rRNA". It matches the Rfam family "Eukaryotic small subunit ribosomal RNA", at positions 1144 to 1787 of the family's 1831-position model. Lineage: Eukaryota; Metazoa; Arthropoda; Insecta; Coleoptera; Staphylinidae. The record is from RNAcentral.